Molecule: small nuclear RNA, 161 nt
Organism: Cricetulus griseus (Chinese hamster)
Lineage: Eukaryota; Metazoa; Chordata; Mammalia; Rodentia; Cricetidae
Gene: U1
Rfam family: U1 spliceosomal RNA
About the family: U1 is a small nuclear RNA (snRNA) component of the spliceosome (involved in pre-mRNA splicing). Its 5' end forms complementary base pairs with the 5' splice junction, thus defining the 5' donor site of an intron.
Source: Ensembl
CCUCUUACCUGGCAGGGGCAAUACCAUGAUCAUGAAGGUGGUUCUCCCAGGGUGAGGUUUAUCCAUAGCACUGCAGAUGUGCUGAACCCUGCGAUUUCCCCAAAUCCAGGAAAUUCAACUGUAUAAUUUGUGACAGGGAGCUGUGUUUUUACUCUCUUCCC